GACGAACGCUGGCGGCGUGCUUAACACAUGCAAGUCGAACGGAAAGGCCUGCUUUCCCUUGUGGAUUGCGGGUACUCGAGUGGCGAGCGGGUGAGUAACACGUGAGUGAUCUGCCCCCAACUUGGGUAUAAGCCUGGGAAACUGGGUCUAAUUCCCGAUAGGACUGCAGGGUGGUGCCUGUGGUGGAAAACGAUUUUCUAGUGGUUGGGGAUGAGCUCGCGGCCUAUCAGCUUGUUGGUGGGGUAAUGGCCUACCAAGGCGGCGACGGGUAGCCGGCCUGGGAGGGUGGACGGCCACAUUGGGACUGAGAUACGGCCCAGACUCCUACGGGAGGCAGCAGUGGGGAAUAUUGCACAAUGGGCGGAAGCCUGAUGCAGCGACGCCGCGUGGGGGAUGACGGCCUUCGGGUUGUAAACUCCUUUCGACCGCGAGGAAGCCACCUGGUUGGAAGGGUGGUGACGGUAGUGGUAGAAGAAGCACCGGCUAACUACGUG
This 494-nucleotide ribosomal RNA is filed under the name uncultured bacterium. Its description in RNAcentral is "partial 16S ribosomal RNA". It matches the Rfam family "Bacterial small subunit ribosomal RNA", at positions 28 to 507 of the family's 1533-position model. The record is from RNAcentral.